GACGAACGCUGGCGGCGUGCUUAACACAUGCAAGUCGAGCGGAGCGGCGAACGGGUGAGUAACGCGUGAGUAACUGCACCCCUCCCGGGGAAAACAGUUGGAAACUGCUGCCAAUACCGGAUAGUGGGGGAUGACUGUGGGCCUAUCGGCUUGGUGGUGGGGUGGUGGCCUACCAAGGCGACGACGGGUAGCCGGCCUGGGAUGGGGGACGGCCACAAUGGGCUGCGGUACGGCCCAGACUCCUACGGGGGGCAGCGGUGGCGAAUAUUGUACAGUCGGGGCACCUCUGAGGCAGCAGCGUCGCGGGUGGGAUGUCGGCCUUGGGGUGGUGAACCGCUUGCAGCCAUGACGCGGUAGUGGCAGAAGAAGCACCGGCUAACUACGUGCCAGCCGCCGCGGUAAUUC
Molecule: ribosomal RNA, 405 nt
Filed under: uncultured bacterium
Lineage: Bacteria
Description: partial 16S ribosomal RNA
Rfam family: Bacterial small subunit ribosomal RNA
Source: RNAcentral